Molecule: long non-coding RNA, 890 nt
Organism: Eucalyptus grandis
Lineage: Eukaryota; Viridiplantae; Streptophyta; Magnoliopsida; Myrtales; Myrtaceae
Exons: 2
Source: RefSeq, a predicted model, not a curated record
AUCGUCUAAAGAUGCUAAUUUGAAAGAAAAGAAAGAGGAAAGGGUACUUAAAUGGAAUCUUCACUCUCAAAUUUUGUUCAGGGUGUGUGGGGAGGCAUGUAUUUUUGGGUCCUAGACUUCUAGUUUGUAGAAUUUUGAUAGCUCAUAAACAGGAGUUGGCAAGUAACGCAGUCAAACUAGCCGACAAUGGCCAGGAUUGAUGUAUGGUUCUACAAAGAAGGUUUCGCAGUCAUUGCGAGUUCCUUUAACAUAAAAUUGAGCCCUGCCAAUUGAGCGUUGCAUUCUCAAGAGAGUAGCUCUUUGGCCUGUGUAGGUUUUCUCAGCAAAACCAUGCUUAUUUCUUUCUUUUUCUAUCUAAGCAGAAUACGCAAAACAUCACAUAUGUGCAAGGAUGUGUUUUUAACUACAAUGCUCAAUUAUGUUCAUAACCCUCCCAUCUGUAAAGUUAUGUGCUCCUGCAGGUCUCUUCUAUUUAUUCUUCCGUGCAGAAGAUGAACGAAUUAGACCAGCAAGAACAGAUGAUGCUCGGAGCAUCUUCUCUGGCGAAGUAGGUACCCACCAUAGCUUCUCUGGUUAGAUGCUCAAAUGGGUUCGCUGUGAUUUAGCCAUGCUCGGUCAUGUGUAUGGUCAUCUUCAUAGUUGUCCUGUAUAUGAUGAAUUCCAGAUCCAUUGUUCGAAGAGUCCUUGUGAAUAAUUGAAGCUGUAGCUGGGGUCUCUAGUCCUCUGGCCUCUGUUUUGGUUCUACUCGAUCUGAAAUGCUUGGAUGUAAAUAAUUUCUAGUUGGUGCUGUAUAUGGCUCACUCGUUGAGAUACCCAAAACAUAUUCGGGACUCAAGAGAUCAUUCAAUCUGUAAAUCAAUCUCUUAAAUAAGUUUUUGUGCGAUGUCAAA